This 1078-nucleotide ribosomal RNA is filed under the name Salmonella enterica subsp. enterica serovar Albany. RNAcentral's name for it is "partial 23S ribosomal RNA". It matches the Rfam family "Bacterial large subunit ribosomal RNA", at positions 1155 to 2215 of the family's 2925-position model. Lineage: Bacteria; Pseudomonadati; Pseudomonadota; Gammaproteobacteria; Enterobacterales; Enterobacteriaceae. The record is from RNAcentral.
CGGCCUGCGCGGAAGAUGUAACGGGGCUAAACCAUGCACCGAAGCUGCGGCAGCGACGCUUAUGCGUUGUUGGGUAGGGGAGCGUUCUGUAAGCCUGUGAAGGUGGCCUGUGAGGGUUGCUGGAGGUAUCAGAAGUGCGAAUGCUGACAUAAGUAACGAUAAAGCGGGUGAAAAGCCCGCUCGCCGGAAGACCAAGGGUUCCUGUCCAACGUUAAUCGGGGCAGGGUGAGUCGACCCCUAAGGCGAGGCCGAAAGGCGUAGUCGAUGGGAAACGGGUUAAUAUUCCCGUACUUGGUGUUACUGCGAAGGGGGGACGGAGAAGGCUAUGUUGGCCGGGCGACGGUUGUCCCGGUUUAAGCGUGUAGGUGUGUGUUCCAGGUAAAUCCGGUUCACUUUAACACUGAGGCGUGACGACGAGGCACUACGGUGCUGAAGCAACAAAUGCCCUGCUUCCAGGAAAAGCCUCUAAGCAUCAGGUAACAUCAAAUCGUACCCCAAACCGACACAGGUGGUCAGGUAGAGAAUACCAAGGCGCUUGAGAGAACUCGGGUGAAGGAACUAGGCAAAAUGGUGCCGUAACUUCGGGAGAAGGCACGCUGACACGUAGGUGAAGUGAUUUACUCAUGGAGCUGAAGUCAGUCGAAGAUACCAGCUGGCUGCAACUGUUUAUUAAAAACACAGCACUGUGCAAACACGAAAGUGGACGUAUACGGUGUGACGCCUGCCCGGUGCCGGAAGGUUAAUUGAUGGGGUCAGCGCAAGCGAAGCUCCUGAUCGAAGCCCCGGUAAACGGCGGCCGUAACUAUAACGGUCCUAAGGUAGCGAAAUUCCUUGUCGGGUAAGUUCCGACCUGCACGAAUGGCGUAAUGAUGGCCAGGCUGUCUCCACCCGAGACUCAGUGAAAUUGAACUCGCUGUGAAGAUGCAGUGUACCCGCGGCAAGACGGAAAGACCCCGUGAACCUUUACUAUAGCUUGACACUGAACAUUGAGCCUUGAUGUGUAGGAUAGGUGGGAGGCUUUGAAGUGUGGACGCCAGUCUGCAUGGAGCCGACCUUGAAAUACCACCCUUUAAUGUUU